Molecule: ribosomal RNA, 676 nt
Filed under: uncultured Alphaproteobacteria bacterium
Lineage: Bacteria; Pseudomonadati; Pseudomonadota; Alphaproteobacteria
Description: bacterial SSU rRNA
Rfam family: Bacterial small subunit ribosomal RNA
Source: RNAcentral
UGGACCUGGCGGCAGGCUUACACAUGCAGUCGAACGAGAUCUUCAGAUCUAGUGGCGCACGGGUGAGUACGCGUGGGAACCUACCUUUUAGUACGGGACAACGUUUGGAAACGAACGCUAAUACCGGAUACGCCCUUCGGGGGAAAGGUCCGCCGCAGAAGGAGGAGCCCGCGUCUGAUUAGCUUGUUGGUAGGGUAAUGGCCUACCAAGGCGACGAUCAGUAGCUGGUCUGAGAGGAUGAUCAGCCACACUGGGACUGAGACACGGCCCAGACUCCUACGGGAGGCAGCAGUGGGGAAUAUUGGACAAUGGGGGCAACCCUGAUCCAGCAAUGCCGCGUGUGUGAUGAAGGCCUUAGGGUUGUAAAGCACUUUCACUGGUGAAGAUGAUGACGGUAACCAGAGAAGAAGCCCCGGCUAACUUCGUGCCAGCAGCCGCGGUAAUACGAAGGGGGCGAGCGUUGUUCGGAAUUACUGGGCGUAAAGGGAGCGCAGGCGGUUCAUUAAGUUAGGCGUGAAAGCCCCGGGCUCAACCAUAGAACUGCUUCCAGAACUGUCUGACUAGAGUACAGUAGAGGGUGGCGGAAUUUCCUGUGUAGCGGUGAAAUGCGUAGAUGUAGGCACGGAACACCAGUGGCGAAAGGCGGUUACUGGGCAAAAUGACGCUGAGGCCGAAA